UCUGCUGGUUAAAAGCAUGCUGGAGCACUGUGUCAACGCCAACAUUGAUGAAGCCUACAAGAUCAUUGAGCAGCUUUGGUCACUCGGAUACUCACCAGAGGACAUCAUUGGAAAACAUCUUUAGAGUGUGUAAGACCUUUCAGAUGGCUGAAUAUUUGAAGCUGGAAUAUAUUAAGGAAAUUGGCUACACACAUAUGAAAGUGCAGAAGGAGUGAACUCUCUGUUACAGAUGGCUGGGCUGUUGGGUCGCCUGUGCAGCAAGACUGCUGCACCUGAUGCCAGCUAAAGACAAGAGAUGUUAUCAAAUGAUCACAGCCUCAGUGUUCUUUAACUCCAGAACAAGACUUAUAUAUUUUGUAAAAGAAAAAAAAAAGCAUAAUUGUGAA
Long non-coding RNA from Carassius auratus (goldfish), 386 nucleotides. RefSeq lists it as uncharacterized. NCBI's taxonomy places the organism in Eukaryota, Metazoa, Chordata, Actinopteri, Cypriniformes, Cyprinidae. The transcript is spliced from 3 exons. The record is from RefSeq and is a predicted model, not a curated record.